RNAcentral lists this long non-coding RNA (214 nucleotides) under Elaeis guineensis (African oil palm). RNAcentral describes it as "long non-coding RNA (EGUI_LNC076441)". The record is from RNAcentral. Lineage: Eukaryota; Viridiplantae; Streptophyta; Magnoliopsida; Arecales; Arecaceae.
AAGACUCAUCGGAAACCUCAAGUAAGAUAUCCAACAUCUUUCCCUUCUCUUUUCUUGCAUUAAACCCCAUCCAUCAGCUAUGAUUUGGUCGAAACAAUGCCCGGAAGAAUCCCCUGUUUCCAAAUCUAUAACUCUAAUGUCAUCCCCUUUUUCUAGUACCGUAUGCCACCGCCGAUCGUCAGGAAAGGAACUCCAGCCGCAUCACCAUGGCCCC